This 468-nucleotide ribosomal RNA is filed under the name uncultured bacterium. RNAcentral describes it as "bacterial LSU rRNA". It matches the Rfam family "Bacterial large subunit ribosomal RNA", at positions 1763 to 2239 of the family's 2925-position model. The record is from RNAcentral.
GGAGCUCGAAAGGGUUGCAGUGAAAAGGUGGCUGCGACUGUUUAUUAAAAACACAGCACUCUGCAAACACGAAAGUGGACGUAUAGGGUGUGACGCCUGCCCGGUGCUGGAAGAUUAAAUGAUGGGGUGCAAGCUCUUGACUGAAGUCCCAGUAAACGGCGGCCGUAACAAUAACGGUCCUAAGGUAGCGAAAUUCCUUGUCGGGUAAGUUCCGACCCGCACGAAUGGCGUAACGAUGGCCACACUGUCUCCUCCUGAGACUCAGCGAAGUUGAAAUGUUUGUGAAGAUGCAAUCUCCCCGCUGCUAGACGGAAAGACCCCGUGAACCUUUACUGUAGCUUUGCAUUGGACUUUGAACAGACUUGUGUAGGAUAGGUGGGAGGCUUUGAAGUGGGAACGCCAGUUCUCAUGGAGCCGUCCUUGAAAUACCACCCUGGUGUGUUUGAGGUUCUAACCUGGGUCCGUCAU